RNAcentral lists this ribosomal RNA (430 nucleotides) under Boa constrictor (boa). RNAcentral's name for it is "partial 16S ribosomal RNA". It matches the Rfam family "Bacterial large subunit ribosomal RNA", at positions 1952 to 2594 of the family's 2925-position model. The record is from RNAcentral. Lineage: Eukaryota; Metazoa; Chordata; Lepidosauria; Squamata; Boidae.
AAAGGUAGAGUAAUCAUUUGUCUAUUAAUUGUAGACUAGUAUGAAAGGCCACAUGAGAGCCAAACUGUCUCUUAUAAUAAAUCAAUUAAACUGAUCUCCUAGUACAAAAGCUAGAAUAACUAUAUAAGACCAGAAGACCCUGUGAAGCUUAAACUAAACUAUUAAACCAACUAAUAGCUACUUUCGGUUGGGGCGACCUUGGAACAAAACCAAACUUCCAAACAAAAUGAGCUAUACCUCAUAACCAUAGGCCAACAAGCCAACCAACGACCCAGUAUAACUGAUCAUUGGACCAAGUUACUCCAGGGAUAACAGCGCUAUCUUCUUCAAGAGCCCAUAUCAAAAAGAAGGUUUACGACCUCGAUGUUGGAUCAGGACACCCAAAUGGUGUAGCCGCUAUUAAUGGUUCGUUUGUUCAACGAUUAACAGU